GCCAGAUGUGGUGGCAUGUACCUGUAGUCUCAGCUACUCAGGAGGUUGAGGUAGGAGGAUCACUUGAGUCCAGGAGUUCUGGGCUGCAGUGUGAUAAGCCAGUCAGGUGUCUGCACUAAAUUCAGCAUCAAUAUGGUGACCUCUUAGGAGCAGGUGACCACCAGGUUGCCUAAGGAAGGGUGAACCAGCCUAGGUUGGAAAUGGAGUGAGUCAAAGCAAACAAACCUAGUCUUGUGGAGAGGAACACUCAGGAACAGUGUCCCUGAGCUGACUCGAUGUGGUCCUCUAGGCUUUU
This 295-nucleotide signal recognition particle RNA is filed under the name Octodon degus (degu). RNAcentral describes it as "Metazoan signal recognition particle RNA (ENSODEG00000025821.1)". It matches the Rfam family "Metazoan signal recognition particle RNA". From Rfam's summary of the family: The signal recognition particle (SRP) is a universally conserved ribonucleoprotein. The record is from Rfam by way of RNAcentral. Lineage: Eukaryota; Metazoa; Chordata; Mammalia; Rodentia; Octodontidae.